This 776-nucleotide ribosomal RNA is filed under the name uncultured Neocallimastigales. RNAcentral describes it as "partial large subunit ribosomal RNA". It matches the Rfam family "Eukaryotic large subunit ribosomal RNA", at positions 24 to 646 of the family's 3401-position model. The record is from RNAcentral. Lineage: Eukaryota; Fungi; Neocallimastigomycota; Neocallimastigomycetes; Neocallimastigales.
UUAUGUGAUCGUCUCUCGCAUAUCAAUAAGCGGAGGAAAAGAAACUAACAAGGAUUCCCCUAGUAACGGCGAGUGAAGCGGGAAGAGCUCAAAUUUGAAAUCUUAAAGGGUUUCCCUUUACGAAUUGUAGUUUAAAGGAAGUGUUUUCUGUUGAGGUUUUGGUAAAAGUUCUUUGGAAUAGGACAUCAUAGAGGGUGAGAAUCCCGUAUUUGACCUUUACUUUCAACUUUGUGAUACACUUUCAAAGAGUCGGAUUGUUUGGGAAUGCAGUCCAAAAUGGGUGGUAAAUUUCAUCUAAAGCUAAAUAUUGGCGAGAGACCGAUAGCGAACAAGUACCGUGAGGGAAAGAUGAAAAGAACUUUGAAAAGAGAGUUAAACAGUACGUGAAAUUGUCAAAAGGGAAGCGUUUGACACCAGUGUUGUUUUUCUGAAAAUCAAUUAAAGAACUGUUUAUGCUAAGUUGUUUAGACUUUAUCAGCUAACUGUUUAGUUUUGAGCUUUUCUUUAAUGCACUUUUCAGUUAACAAGUCAACAUCAAUUUCUUUUGCUGUAAAAAAGCUUGAGGAAGGUGGCUUGAGAUUCGUCUUAAGUGUUUAUAGCCUCCUGCCUAUGCAGUCGGAGAGAUUGAGGUCUGCAGCGUAGAUCCUUCGGGGCUAAAUGCUUUUGUGCUAAGUUAUAACAUUUUAUAGACAACUUGUUGACUAUGAUUUGUCUUGUAGCUUACUCGCUUAUGUUAUUUUACCUACGCUUAGGAUGUUGACGAGACUGUCGAUCUC